GCAUAUGAAGCUCCGUCUUGUACACCUAAAAAUUUUCCCCACCCCGUCCCGUGUCGCUCCCGCGAGCGGCCGCGGGGCGAAACCCUAGCCGCCGCCGCUCGGGCCCCUCUUCACCUCCAUCUCGCCGCCGCUGCCGUCGGCCUCCUCUGCCGCGGUGGCGGCGGGCCCCACUCCCCGAAGGGCAGUGGGGGUUCUCUGCGGCGGAGGCGCCCUCGGGCGGACGGGAGCGCGGAGGUCGGGGCGGCGCCCCCGGGUGGCUUGAUGGUGGCGUCCCCGGCGGCACGGGCUCCGGAAGGAGGAGGCGACGGCGGGAUUGGGCGCUGGCGUGCGUGCUGGCCAGGCGCGGCGGCAGAAGCGGGGAUCCGGUGGUGGCCAGAGCUCCGGCCGCGGGGAUUCGGCGGUGACCGGCGCGGUGGUCGCGCCGCUUCUGUUGCUGGCCGUCGGUGGCGAGAUCGUUGCUGGCGGCCAGCCUGGUCGGCCUUGAUGGCGGACGCCGGGGGUUUCCGGGGAGGCGUCUUUGGCUGCUGAUCUGGUGCAGUCGGGGCGUCUGCCUGCCCCGUGCGACGUGAGGCGUCGGCGUGCGGGCCUUUGGCCGGCGUGGUUGUCGUGGUGGAUGCCGGGACGGCGGUUCCGAGAAGUGGCCAUGGUUUUCCGAGCAGUGGAUCUAGUGUGCUGGGCGCGGAUUUUGCUUUGGCAAGCGAUGGCGGAGUAGGAAGUCGAGGUGGCGGCCUCGGAAGGGGGUGAAGGCAGUCUGCUGCGCGGGGCAUAGUUGGGUUCAAGACGCCGGGGCGGCAGCCCCAGGCAGCGACGGUCCUCGGUUUGUCUGAAGCGUUGGAAACGCCGGGCUCUUGAGGCGCGCCUCACCUCCUCCUGUGUCAGGGCGGCCCAUAUCUGCUCUUCCCAUAGCGGUUUCGGUUUCUCACCCCGUCGGCGGGCGGCGGUGCGUGCGGUGUGGUGGUGCGGUGCUCUGUCGAUGCUUCUUUCAUGCUCCUUGAAGCCUGUCGAGGUCCUAUCGCCCCUCCUUGGUGGGUCAUGCCGGAUCUGGGUUGCUUAGUGGAGAGCGUUGUGAUUUUUGAUGUGGCGGGGUUCUUCUUCAGUUGCUCCGUUGGCGGGUUGGCGUGUAGGUGGAACUCCCUGCCCCUUUGAGGUGUCCUAAAAAAAACCUCCGUCUUGGCUCACUUCUUUCAAAGUUACAUGCACCGGUUGUUUCAAAGUACUGAGUUUUUGGAUCGUCUCAUUGUACAUCUUGAGAGCCUCACUUUGUGGAUGAAUAGAAGGUGGGGGUAUAUACUCUAGAUUGCUUGUUUGCAUACUGGAAAAAAAUUAUAUAUGAUCAAGAGAGCAGUUGUAAGGAAGUGAAAUAGAAUUGUAUGCUGGAAUGAAUACCUUGGUUUCGCUCCA
Molecule: long non-coding RNA, 1401 nt
Organism: Brachypodium distachyon (stiff brome)
Lineage: Eukaryota; Viridiplantae; Streptophyta; Magnoliopsida; Poales; Poaceae
Exons: 2
Source: RefSeq, a predicted model, not a curated record